UAGGGAAUCUUCCACAAUGGGCGAAGGCCUGAUGGAGCAACGCCGCGUGUGUGAUGAAGGGUUUCGGCUCGUAAAACACUGUUGUAAGAGAAGAAUGACAUUGAGAGUAACUGUUCAAUGUGUGACGGUAUCUUACCAGAAAGGGACGGCUAAAUACGUGCCAG
This 164-nucleotide ribosomal RNA is filed under the name uncultured bacterium. RNAcentral describes it as "partial 16S ribosomal RNA". It matches the Rfam family "Bacterial small subunit ribosomal RNA", at positions 355 to 511 of the family's 1533-position model. The record is from RNAcentral.